AGGAUGAACGCUUAGCGGCAGGCUUAACACAUGCAAGUCGAGGGGCAGCACGUCUUCGGAUGGUGGCGACCGGCGCACGGGGUGCGUAACGCGUAUAGAACCUACCUUUUACAGGGGAAUAGCCCAGAGAAAUUUGGAUUAAUGCCCCAUAGUAUUAUUGAAUGGCAUCAUUUAAUAAUUAAACAUUUAUGGGUAAAAGAUGGCUAUGCGUUCUAUUAGCUAGUAGGUAAGGUAACGGCUUACCUAGGGCAACGAUAGAUAGGGGUCCUGAGAGGGAGAUCCCCCACACUGGUACCUGAGACACGGACCAGACUCCUACGGGAGGCAGCAGUGAGGAAUAUUGGACAAUGGGCGAGAGCCUGAUCCAGCCAUGCCGCGUGCAGGAAGACGGUCCUAUGGAUUGUAAACUGCUUUUAUACAGGAAGAAACACUCGGACGUGUCCGAGCUUGACGGUACUGUAUGAAUAAGCACCGGCUAACUCCGUG
Molecule: ribosomal RNA, 486 nt
Filed under: uncultured bacterium
Lineage: Bacteria
Description: bacterial SSU rRNA
Rfam family: Bacterial small subunit ribosomal RNA
Source: RNAcentral